This 1372-nucleotide ribosomal RNA is filed under the name uncultured bacterium. RNAcentral's name for it is "bacterial SSU rRNA". It matches the Rfam family "Bacterial small subunit ribosomal RNA", at positions 28 to 1381 of the family's 1533-position model. The record is from RNAcentral.
GAUGAACGCUGGCGGCGUGCCUAAUACAUGCAAGUCGAGCGAACGGACGAGAAGCUUGCUUCUCUGAUGUUAGCGGCGGACGGGUGAGUAACACGUGGAUAACCUACCUAUAAGACUGGGAUAACUUCGGGAAACCGGAGCUAAUACCGGAUAAUAUUUUGAACCGCAUGGUUCAAAAGUGAAAGACGGUCUUGCUGUCACUUAUAGAUGGAUCCGCGCUGCAUUAGCUAGUUGGUAAGGUAACGGCUUACCAAGGCAACGAUGCAUAGCCGACCUGAGAGGGUGAUCGGCCACACUGGAACUGAGACACGGUCCAGACUCCUACGGGAGGCAGCAGUAGGGAAUCUUCCGCAAUGGGCGAAAGCCUGACGGAGCAACGCCGCGUGAGUGAUGAAGGUCUUCGGAUCGUAAAACUCUGUUAUUAGGGAAGAACAUAUGUGUAAGUAACUGUGCACAUCUUGACGGUACCUAAUCAGAAAGCCACGGCUAACUACGUGCCAGCAGCCGCGGUAAUACGUAGGUGGCAAGCGUUAUCCGGAAUUAUUGGGCGUAAAGCGCGCGUAGGCGGUUUUUUAAGUCUGAUGUGAAAGCCCACGGCUCAACCGUGGAGGGUCAUUGGAAACUGGAAAACUUGAGUGCAGAAGAGGAAAGUGGAAUUCCAUGUGUAGCGGUGAAAUGCGCAGAGAUAUGGAGGAACACCAGUGGCGAAGGCGACUUUCUGGUCUGUAACUGACGCUGAUGUGCGAAAGCGUGGGGAUCAAACAGGAUUAGAUACCCUGGUAGUCCACGCCGUAAACGAUGAGUACUAAGUGUUAGGGGGUUUCCGCCCCUUAGUGCUGCAGCUAACGCAUUAAGCACUCCGCCUGGGGAGUACGACCGCAAGGUUGAAACUCAAAGGAAUUGACGGGGACCCGCACAAGCGGUGGAGCAUGUGGUUUAAUUCGAAGCAACGCGAAGAACCUUACCAAAUCUUGACAUCCUUUGACAACUCUAGAGAUAGAGCCUUCCCCUUCGGGGGACAAAGUGACAGGUGGUGCAUGGUUGUCGUCAGCUCGUGUCGUGAGAUGUUGGGUUAAGUCCCGCAACGAGCGCAACCCUUAAGCUUAGUUGCCAUCAUUAAGUUGGGCACUCUAAGUUGACUGCCGGUGACAAACCGGAGGAAGGUGGGGAUGACGUCAAAUCAUCAUGCCCCUUAUGAUUUGGGCUACACACGUGCUACAAUGGACAAUACAAAGGGCAGCGAAACCGCGAGGUCAAGCAAAUCCCAUAAAGUUGUUCUCAGUUCGGAUUGUAGUCUGCAACUCGACUACAUGAAGCUGGAAUCGCUAGUAAUCGUAGAUCAGCAUGCUACGGUGAAUACGUUCCCGGGUCU